GGGGAUGUAGCUCAGUGGUAGAGCACUUGCCUAGAACGCAGAAAGCCUGGGUUCAAUUGCCAGCACUGCAA
This 71-nucleotide transfer RNA is filed under the name Marmota marmota marmota (Alpine marmot). It matches the Rfam family "tRNA". Rfam says of the family: Transfer RNA (tRNA) molecules are approximately 80 nucleotides in length. Their secondary structure includes four short double-helical elements and three loops (D, anti-codon, and T loops). Lineage: Eukaryota; Metazoa; Chordata; Mammalia; Rodentia; Sciuridae. The record is from Rfam by way of RNAcentral. RNAcentral also lists the same sequence under 3 other names.